UACGGGGGGGGCAAGCGUUGUUCGGAAUUACUGGGCGUAAAGGGCUCGUAGGUGGCCAACUAAGUCAGACGUGAAAUCCCUCGGCUUAACCGGGGAACUGCGUCUGAUACUGGAUGGCUCUGAGUUUGGGAGAGGGAUGCGGAAUUCCAGGUGUAGCGGUGAAAUGCGUAGAUAUCUGGAGGAACACCGGUGGCGAAGGCGGCAUCCUGGACCAACACUGACGCUGAGGAGCGAAAGCCAGGGGAGCAAACGGG
Molecule: ribosomal RNA, 254 nt
Filed under: uncultured bacterium
Lineage: Bacteria
Description: partial 16S ribosomal RNA
Rfam family: Bacterial small subunit ribosomal RNA
Source: RNAcentral